RNAcentral lists this ribosomal RNA (246 nucleotides) under uncultured bacterium. RNAcentral describes it as "partial 16S ribosomal RNA". It matches the Rfam family "Bacterial small subunit ribosomal RNA", at positions 523 to 769 of the family's 1533-position model. The record is from RNAcentral.
AUACGUAGGGGGCAAGCGUUAUCCGGAAUCAUUGGGCGUAAAGGGUGCGUAGGCUGCCCUAUAGGUCAGAGGUCAAAGGCUACGGCUCAACCGUAGUAAGCCUUUGAAACUGUAGGGCUUGAGUGCAGGAGAGGAGAGUGGAAUUCCUAGUGUAGCGGUGAAAUGCGUAGAUAUUAGGAGGAACACCAGUGGCGAAGGCGACUCUCUGGACUGCAACUGACGCUGAGGCACGAAAGCGUGGGUAGC